RNAcentral lists this ribosomal RNA (469 nucleotides) under uncultured bacterium. RNAcentral describes it as "bacterial SSU rRNA". It matches the Rfam family "Bacterial small subunit ribosomal RNA", at positions 329 to 793 of the family's 1533-position model. The record is from RNAcentral.
GACCAGACUCCUACGGGAGGCAGCAGUGAGGAAUAUUGGUCAAUGGGCGCGAGCCUGAACCAGCCAAGUCGCGUGAGGGAGGACGGCCCUACGGGUUGUAAACCUCUUUUGCCGGGGAGCAACGGGCGCCACGUGUGGCGUCACUGAGAGUACCCGGAGAAAAAGCAUCGGCUAACUCCGUGCCAGCAGCCGCGGUAAUACGGAGGAUGCGAGCGUUAUCCGGAUUUAUUGGGUGUAAAGGGUGCGUAGACGGGAAAUUAAGUUAGUUGUGAAAUCCCUCGGCUUAACUGAGGAACUGCAACUAAAACUGAUUUUCUUGAGUACUGGAGAGGAAAGUGGAAUUCCUAGUGUAGCGGUGAAAUGCGUAGAUAUUAGGAGGAACACCAGUGGCGAAGGCGACUUCCUGGACAGUAACUGACGUUGAGGCACGAAAGUGUGGGGAGCAAACAGGAUUAGAUACCCUAGUAAG